CACGUAGGGCGCAAGCGUUGUCCGGAAUUAUUGUGCGUAAAGAGCUCGUAGGUGGUUUGUUACGUCUGCUGUGAAAACCUAGGGCUUAACCCUGGGCUUGCAGUGGAUACGGGCAGACUAGAGGUAGGUAGGGGAGAAUGGAAUUCCUGGUGUAGCGGUGAAAUGCGCAGAUAUCAGGAGGAACACCGGUGGCGAAGGCGGUUCUCUGGGCCUUACCUGACACUGAGGAGCGAAAGCGUGGGGAGCGAACAGG
RNAcentral lists this ribosomal RNA (253 nucleotides) under uncultured bacterium. RNAcentral describes it as "partial 16S ribosomal RNA". It matches the Rfam family "Bacterial small subunit ribosomal RNA", at positions 524 to 776 of the family's 1533-position model. The record is from RNAcentral.